CCUACGGGUGGCAGCAGUGAGGAAUAUUGGUCAAUGGGCGGGAGCCUGAACCAGCCAAGUCGCGUGAGGGAAGACGGUCCUAUGGAUUGUAAACCUCUUUAGGCGGGGAGCAAUGCCGGGCACGCGUGCCCUUCGGGGAAGUACCCGCGGAAUAGGCAUCGGCGAACUCCGUGCCAGCAGCCGCGGUAAUACGGGGGAUGCGAGCGGUAUCCGGAUUUAUUGGGUUUAAGGGGUGCGGAGGCGGAGUUUUAAGUCAGCGGUAAAAUGUCCGGGCUCAACCCUGGCGGGCCGUUGAAACUGGGGAUCUUGAGUGGGUGAGAAGUAUGCGGAAUGCGUGGUGUAGCGGUGAAAUGCAUAGAUAUCACGCAGAACUCCGAUUGCGAAGGCAGCAUACCGGCGCCCGACUGACGCUGAGGCACGAAAGCGUGGGGAUCGAACAGGAUUAGAUACCCCAGUAGUC
RNAcentral lists this ribosomal RNA (460 nucleotides) under uncultured bacterium. RNAcentral describes it as "partial 16S ribosomal RNA". It matches the Rfam family "Bacterial small subunit ribosomal RNA", at positions 338 to 795 of the family's 1533-position model. The record is from RNAcentral.